AACUAGCCCUGAUUGCAACGGAAAUCCUUUUUUGAAAAAAAAGAUUGUAGUGGAAAGCAGGUUCCUGG
RNAcentral lists this small RNA (68 nucleotides) under Kaistella jeonii. RNAcentral describes it as "Chryseobacterium jeonii Flavo-1 RNA". It matches the Rfam family "Flavo-1 RNA". Lineage: Bacteria; Pseudomonadati; Bacteroidota; Flavobacteriia; Flavobacteriales; Weeksellaceae. The record is from RNAcentral.